CCUACGGGAGGCAGCAGUGAGGAAUAUUGGUCAAUGGGCGCGAGCCUGAACCAGCCAAGUAGCGUGAAGGAUGACUGCCCUACGGGUUGUAAACUUCUUUUAUAAAGGAAUAAAGUGAGGCACGUGUGCCUUUUUGUACGUACUUUAUGAAGAAGGAUCGGCUAACUCCGUGCCAGCAGCCGCGGUAAUACGGAGGAUCCGAGCGUUAUCCGGAUUUAUUGGGGUUAAAGGGAGCGUAGAUGGGUUGUUAAGUCAGUUGUGAAAGUUUGCGGCUCAACCGUAAAAUUGCAAUUGAUACUGGCAGCCUUGAGUACAGUUGAGGUAGUCGGAAUUCGUGGUGUAGCGGUGAAAUGCUUAGACAUCACGAAGAACACCGAUUGCGAAGGCAGCUUACUAAACUGCCACUGACAUUGAUGCUCGAAAGUGUGGGUAUCAAACAGGAUUAGAUACCCGUGUAGUC
This 460-nucleotide ribosomal RNA is filed under the name uncultured bacterium. RNAcentral's name for it is "partial 16S ribosomal RNA". It matches the Rfam family "Bacterial small subunit ribosomal RNA", at positions 338 to 795 of the family's 1533-position model. The record is from RNAcentral.